UACGUAGGGUGCGAGCGUUAAUCGGAAUUACUGGGCGUAAAGAGCUCGUAGGCGGCUUGUUGCGUCAGCUGUGAAAACCCGCAGCUCAACUGUGGGCUUGCAGCUGAUACGGGCAGGCUUGAGUUCGGUAGGGGAGACUGGAAUUCCGGGUGUAGCGGUGGAAUGCGUAGAGAUCCGGAAGAACACCGGUGGCGAAGGCGGCCUGCUGGGCAGUGGCUGACGCUGAGGCGCGACAGCGUGGGGAGCAAACAGG
This 253-nucleotide ribosomal RNA is filed under the name uncultured bacterium. Its description in RNAcentral is "partial 16S ribosomal RNA". It matches the Rfam family "Bacterial small subunit ribosomal RNA", at positions 524 to 776 of the family's 1533-position model. The record is from RNAcentral.